This 372-nucleotide ribosomal RNA is filed under the name Salmo trutta fario. RNAcentral describes it as "partial 16S ribosomal RNA". The record is from RNAcentral. Lineage: Eukaryota; Metazoa; Chordata; Actinopteri; Salmoniformes; Salmonidae.
CCUUAAUAGCGGCUGCACCAUUAGGAUGUCCUGAUCCAACAUCGAGGUCGUAAACCCCCUCGUCGAUAGGGACUCUGGGAGAGGAUUGCGCUGUUAUCCCUAGGGUAACUCGGUCCGUUGAUCGGCGUUCGCCGGAUCAUUUUUGGUCAGAAAUUCUGGUGCUUAGAGUUGUGGCUCUUGGUUGUGGGGGCAGUGUCCCCAGUCCACAUGGGGGCUUUGUUUUCCCCCGCGGUCGCCCCAACCAAAGACAUAGGGGCUAGGGGUCACUGUGUUUUUACUUGUUAAUUCAAGGUUACUUGACGUGAUCUGCCUGGUGUCUAAAGCUCCAUAGGGUCUUCUCGUCUUAUGUAUUUAUGUCCGCUUCUGCACGGG